ACAAUCACUGAAUAUCAACCACCUCAAAUAGGAGGACACUUUGAUUCCCACCAUGGAUGAAUGGCUGCAGAAGCUGAUGGAGUUGGCAGCGAUGGCUAAACUGACCGCUUUGAUCAAAGAAAAGAAUAUACUAAAUAUCAAGCCUGAAGCUGAAGCUCAAAUACUUUGGCCACGGAAUGAGGAGACUUCUUGGAGAAGACCCAGAUGUUAGGAAAGAUGGAAGGAAACAGCUCCAAAUUAUGGAUGGGCAGCUGUGGAUAACAGUAAGGACCAUCAUCUGGAACUCUCCCAGAUACACCAACUAAAACUGAUGAAAAAUCCUGAAGCACAGGGUAACAAGUGUCCAAUUGUCCUUUGGAAAACAUACAAGGUUUCACAUUUGUGUCUGUGAGUUACACAUCCUACCCCACUCCCAGAAGUGGGGUGAACUUUUUUUUUUAAAAAAGCCCUACCACCAUUAAACAAUGGAAAACAAAGCAAAAACUAGCCCAUCCCCUUUUCAAUUUAUGGAUAUAAAUUAUGGCAGUCCAGGUAGAUCUGUCCUGGAGAGGAAAUAUAGGGAAAAUGAGAUGGGUGCCAUCAAAACUACAACCCAUCUUCUUCUGUAUUGUCAGUUCUACAGAGACAUUUGUGGACUAGUCUUCUUUUAUUUAAAUUUUUUGGCACACUCCUAAUACUUUACUUGGCACUAUCAGUGAAACAAUCAAGAUAAAUUUAUUUUUUUCUAAAAGUAGGAAAAUUUGACUAUGUAACGUGUAAGCGUCACCCAUUUUAUCAUCUGACAAAAAUUAACGAUAAAAAAUGCAAUAAACAUAAAUUAUAAAAAUAACAAUUAAAAUCAUAAAUAAGAAAACAAAAAACAAAUAAAUUCAAACCUCAG
Long non-coding RNA from Pantherophis guttatus, 880 nucleotides. RefSeq lists it as uncharacterized. The record is from RefSeq and is a predicted model, not a curated record. Lineage: Eukaryota; Metazoa; Chordata; Lepidosauria; Squamata; Colubridae.